CAUCGAUGUCGUACGUGAACUGAUAAUGCAAGACCGUCAUGUAACAUAACCUGGCCGUAAAAAAGGUUUGUUCUCGUUGGAUAUCGCACAAUUUGACUAUCGCUCAAAAAAAGGCUCGUGUGGAUUGGUGUAAAGAAAUGCUGAAAAAAUACGAUUGCGGUGUUUCAGAAGAUGUUUAUAAGAUCGUCACAGGUGACGAAUCAUGGAUCUAUGCGUAUGCGCCCGAAACAAAACAGCAAUCGACCGAAAAAAAACCAUUUUCGUUGAUAAAUAUUCGUAUUUUCAUUAUUAGGUCAGAAAUAUAUAUAGCAGUCCUCGUAUAUGCUCGAUUGGAUUGAAGUUUGGUGACUGUGGUAGAUAUGGAAGAACAUGUAUAGUACUAUAUGCAAGCCACAUACUUACGUCGAGGUUGCAACUUUUGUUGGAGACAUCAAGGAAUUUAUUACGGGAUUCGCAAUCGGAUUAAUAACUGAUGAGUUAACGGUACUGCACACGUCAGUCAAAGCUUGGAGUUGUGUAUGAUGUAUAGGUAUUGUUCGCUCACGAAGCACUUCCAAGCAAAUGGUUCCCUGUUUCUUUGGAAAAACGACUAUACCACUAGAUUAACGCAGAACAGUGAAUUCUGAGUGUUACACAACCAUUUGUAUGCAGUUGUCUUUCAAGAAAUCAGAAAAUCCAACCUCCGAAGAACUAUCAAUAUUCACCACGACAAUGCGAGCUCUCACUCAUCGACUGAAACAAUGGCAUUUUUGAGCACUCAAAGCACCAAUUUGAUGAGUCAUCCACCGUAUAGACCUGACUUGACACCAAAUGACUUCUUUUUAUUCCCGAAAGUAAAAAAUAAAUUAAGACGUCAACGUUUUUCGACACCUUAAGAAGCGGUUAUACGUUCAGAACGGGAACAAGAAAUCUUAAUGGAGAAUAUUUUUAAAAACAUUAAAGCGAUUUUCGAUUAUUAACAUUUCUUGUUGUUCUCUAAGCCCGAAAUAUAAAAGCAACCCCCGUACGUACGUAUACUUGUAUAUAAAGUAUAGCUGCUAAACGCUUAAGGAGUAAUCUUUUAGAGAUUCUAGAAAAUUAUGUGUAACUACAAUACAUAUAUUUAUAUUUAUGUAGGUAUGAUUCAAGUUCAUUGACGCCAGAAAAUAUUUAAAAUAAUUCACCACAAUCAUAACAUUUAAUUAAUUACUUAAUUACUUAAAAUAAUAUUAUCUGCGUCAAUCUUUAUUCACAGUUUUAUUUAUUGGUAGAGACACGGACAUGUAUUUGGAGCCCCACUCGUAUCAGUUGUGAGAAUUGAGCUCUCCUUUCAAUGUACUAAGUAACUGUUCAUAUGAGUAUUGCGACAAUAUAGAUAUCUACCAAAAUAGGUCUCCAAAGUAUGUCUCCAUAUGACACUUACAGAGAUAAACAUGUUUGUAUGUUAUAAAAUAAGGAAAUGAUAUAUUACGGAUAAUUAAUGUCUACACUAGAUUAUAUAAAAAGGAUAAUUACAACAUCCCUAUUACGCAACUACGAUUGCGAUAAUAUCGCUUCCAGAAUACUUAAUUGGACAUUACGCUAGAAUAUCGUCUAGGUACCGCUAUCAAUUGCAGGGCCGUAAAGAGAAAACCGGGACCCGGGAACGAUUGUAGUGACUUGUUGGAGAAAGAAUUGCUACAGAGCACCGGGCCCGAAAGGAAUUGUCCCCGAUCUCCCUCCCCUCUUUCCUUCACUGAUCGAAUACUAUCAACCCUCAUACUAAGUAGAAUUGUCAAUAUCUGAAAAUUGCUCAAGAGCAGUUGUCAACAUUAUUUUAGAGUUUGAAUGCAUUGAAAAACUUUAAAUAAAAUAUGUGUACUUAUUUUUUAUUUAUAAAAAAUUGAUCUUCAAAGAAAUCGCUGCUCUUUAAACACUAUAGAAAUUUGGUGUAAUAUUAUAUUUACUUUCACAAUUUUUUGUUGUGAACCUUGUUUUUUAAAAUUUAAAUUACCUCUUUUUUGAACUUUAAAUGCAAAUAUCUCAAAAACCAUAAGUCAACAAAGAAAUAGCAUUACUGGCUCCACAUUUUUUUUUUCAAGUUGGUACAUCUGUCGUGAAAACACAUGCAAAGCUACAAGUCAUUCUGUCAAUUCUUUGUUGACAAGUCAUUUGAAGUUGACGUGUCAUAGUAUUUUUUUAAAUUGGAAACAUUGAAUAUUGUGCAGUGAUUAAAUUCUUUAUUUUGAAAGGUUUAAAAGCAAAGGAAAUUUUUGUACAAUUGUUAAAAGUGUAUAAGGACUCCUCGCCUUCAAUACGCACCGUUGAAUUUUGGGCUAGUUAAUUUAAACGUGGUCGUACUAGGCUUGAAGACGCUUUUAAGCAGAAUAAACCCGAAUUCUCGCGGCCUUUUAUAACUAUA
Bactrocera oleae (olive fruit fly) is the source of this 2380-nucleotide non-coding RNA. The record is from RefSeq and is a predicted model, not a curated record. NCBI's taxonomy places the organism in Eukaryota, Metazoa, Arthropoda, Insecta, Diptera, Tephritidae.